RNAcentral lists this ribosomal RNA (253 nucleotides) under uncultured bacterium. RNAcentral describes it as "partial 16S ribosomal RNA". It matches the Rfam family "Bacterial small subunit ribosomal RNA", at positions 524 to 776 of the family's 1533-position model. The record is from RNAcentral.
UACGACGGGGGCUAGCGUUGCUCGGAAUCACUGGGCGUAAAGGUUGCGUAGGCGGGGCUUUAAGUCAGGGGGGAAAUCCUGGAGCUCAACUCCAGAACUGCCUUUGAUACUGAGGAUCUUGAGUUCGGGAGAGGUGAGUGGAACUGCGAGUGUAGAGGUGAAAUUCGUAGAUAUUCGCAAGAACACCAGUGGCGAAGGCGGCUCACUGGCCCGAUACUGACGCUGAGGCACGAAAGCGUGGGGAGCAAACAGG